CCUACGGGUGGCUGCAGUGGGGAAUAUUGGACAAUGGGCGAAAGCCUGAUCCAGCCAUGCCGCGUGUGUGAAGAAGGCCUUCGGGUUGUAAAGCACUUUCAGUGGGGAAGAAAGCCUUGGGGCUAAUACCCUCGAGGAAGGACAUCACCCACAGAAGAAGCACCGGCUAACUCCGUGCCAGCAGCCGCGGUAAUACGGAGGGUGCGAGCGUUAAUCGGAAUUACUGGGCGUAAAGCGCGCGUAGGCGGUCUGAUAAGCCGGUUGUGAAAGCCCCGGGCUCAACCUGGGAACGGCAUCCGGAACUGUCAGGCUAGAGUGCAGGAGAGGAAAGUAGAAUUCCCGGUGUAGCAGUGAAAUGCGUAGAGAUCGGGAGGAAUACCAGUGGCGAAGGCGGCCUUCUGGACUGACACUGACGCUGAGGUGCGAAAGCGUGGGUAGCAAACAGGAUUAGAUACCCUAGUAGUC
RNAcentral lists this ribosomal RNA (465 nucleotides) under Vreelandella stevensii. Its description in RNAcentral is "partial 16S ribosomal RNA". It matches the Rfam family "Bacterial small subunit ribosomal RNA", at positions 338 to 795 of the family's 1533-position model. Lineage: Bacteria; Pseudomonadati; Pseudomonadota; Gammaproteobacteria; Oceanospirillales; Halomonadaceae. The record is from RNAcentral.